UAGGGAAUCUUCGGCAAUGGGGGGAACCCUGACCGAGCAACGCCGCGUGAGUGAAGAAGGUUUUCGGAUCGUAAAGCUCUGUUGUUAAGGAAGAACGAGUGUGAGAAUGGAAAGUUCAUACUGUGACGGUACUUAACCAGAAAGGGACGGCUAACUACGUGCCAGCAGCCGCGGUAAUACGUAGGUCCCGAGCGUUGUCCGGAUUUAUUGGGCGUAAAGCGAGCGCAGGCGGUUAGAUAAGUCUGAAGUUAAAGGCAGUGGCUCAACCAUUGUAGGCUUUGGUAACUGUUUAACUUGAGUGCAGAAGGGGAGAGUGGAAUUCCAUGUGUAGCGGUGAAAUGCGUAGAUAUAUGGAGGAACACCGGUGGCGAAAGCGGCUCUCUGGUCUGUAACUGACGCUGAGGCUCGAAAGCGUGGGGAGCGAACAGGAUUAGAUACCCUGGUAGUCCACGCCGUAAACGAUGAGUGCUAGGUGUUAGGUCCUUUCCGGGACUUAGUGCCGCAGCUAACGCAUUAAGCACUCCGCCUGGGGAGUACGACCGCAAGGUUG
Molecule: ribosomal RNA, 550 nt
Filed under: uncultured bacterium
Lineage: Bacteria
Description: bacterial SSU rRNA
Rfam family: Bacterial small subunit ribosomal RNA
Source: RNAcentral